GGACGCGAAGGAGCGAGAAGAUUCGUCUGCUCACCCUCGCCGGCGAUCGCUUUUGGCGGCGGGGGAAUCCAUCGCCCUUCCUUGGCUGAACCCAGUAAGCAUCGUCGGAGGACAGGCGGCCGGCGGGAAGGCGAAGAGGUUCCGUCUCUUCUUCUCCUUCAUUCCUCUCCCGCCCGCGUGCUUGCUGCCCUCUUCCGAUCUGUGUUGCCGCCGAUUUCUCCAAGAAUCGCCUGGUAUUAUCAUUUUUGCUCAUAUUUUGCAGAUUUAGUUCAAUAUAAACUAAAUAAAAAAAAUAUAAAGCCUGUUCUCUGUCCGUUUGCGAUUUCAUGUGGGCUAGUCGCCGUUUGUCGGAUUGGCUUGGGUAUUGCUCUCAUGUAUUGGUCGACCAUAAAAGAAGAAGGGAUCUUCUUGAUUUGGUAUCCUAAAUCUUCUGUUUCUUUUCCCACGACGAUCUUCUUUCAUUUGGUAGCUUCGGGCUCAGUUUUUUUUUUCCUAUCAACUUAUGGUGGGGGAAAAUUUCUCCGAAAUCACUUUUAUUUAUGAUCAGUGUAAAUUUUUUCUCAUUUUUGUGUUUGCCUUAAUCGAUGAUAUGACGAGGAAGUAGCUAAGUUGCACGCCUGAACUUGGAAUGGAGCUCCUCCGUUGAUAUGCAAAUCUGCAAGGAGCCCUCAUCUGAUUCAUAUGAAACUAGAAAUUUUCUGGUGAUCGGCGGGAGCAAAUAUUUUAUGCCAUAUUUCACCGGUAUAUCUUAUCUUGAAAGAUAAAUUGACACUGGAAGAACUUGGCGCUGGGCUGUGGGCUAGUCUCAUAUCUAUUUACUGUUCGUCGUCAUAUGAUUAUUCUAGUGCCCCAGCACAUACCUAUAAUGUGAUGGGGAAUUCAUGUGAUAUAGACCUUGUUAUUCAUUCGGUUUGCAUGAAUGAACCCAUUACCAGCGAGCCUCCAAACUUGGGUGGAAACAAGCAUUCAUGGGAUUUCUUACAGUGCCCGUCCUUGUAGAAGAUGAUACAUUACAGGUGUAUCUUAAUUCCUUAAAGCUCCACGGUUCUAUGUAGAAAUGCCAUCUCGUUGAUACAGCAUUGAGUUUCUGGAUCUACUGAGAAAAUAUUUUGAAUGUGGUUGACUGCGCCGCAGAGGGCAGAUGAACAGUGGAAGGGUUUCGCCCAAAUGUAUCCUCCUGCAUUCCCGGGAAAAUGUUUAUUGUCGUACCAGAUGUUCUUUCUCUUCAGGCUGAGCUAAAAUUUGAACAGUGACUAGGAAUAUGAUAUCAAAUAUAAAGACUUGGGAUAAUAUUGGUGGAGGACUUGGCGGCCGAUGAUCCAUUAGAUUCUUGAAGGACCCUACCAUACUGGCCCAGAGGCUGAUCAGGCCCAGGUAGCUUUAACAAGGGUGAU
RNAcentral lists this long non-coding RNA (1394 nucleotides) under Spirodela polyrhiza (greater duckweed). RNAcentral describes it as "long non-coding RNA (SPOL_LNC002293)". Lineage: Eukaryota; Viridiplantae; Streptophyta; Magnoliopsida; Alismatales; Araceae. The record is from RNAcentral.